This 71-nucleotide transfer RNA is filed under the name Leptosomus discolor (cuckoo roller). It matches the Rfam family "tRNA". Rfam says of the family: Transfer RNA (tRNA) molecules are approximately 80 nucleotides in length. Their secondary structure includes four short double-helical elements and three loops (D, anti-codon, and T loops). Further hydrogen bonds mediate the characteristic L-shaped molecular structure. tRNAs have two regions of fundamental functional importance: the anti-codon, which is responsible for specific mRNA codon recognition, and the 3' end, to which the tRNAs corresponding amino acid is attached (by aminoacyl-tRNA synthetases). tRNAs cope with the degeneracy of the genetic code in two manners: having more than one tRNA (with a specific anti-codon) for a particular amino acid; and 'wobble' base-pairing, i.e. permitting non-standard base-pairing at the 3rd anti-codon position. The record is from Rfam by way of RNAcentral. Lineage: Eukaryota; Metazoa; Chordata; Aves; Leptosomiformes; Leptosomidae.
GUUAAGAUGGUCGAGUGUUGAGGUGUUAGGCUGUAGUCCUUUUUACAGAGGUUUGAUUCCUCUUCUUAUCA